UCCCCCCCUUUCCAGACCUCAUUUAAGGGUUGUUCAGGGAAGGGUGAGGGCACUUUUAGUUGGAGAUACUUCAGUAGACGAGGUCUUCUGAGGACCUUGUUUGUGGGUUGGCAGCAGAGGUAUGGGUAUCUUGUUGGAGAUUCCUGCCUAUUGGAGGUAUUCCGAAGGGACUAAUGGAGUUGUUUUUCAGAAUCAUUCACUACUCGUGUUUUCAAAAAAGUAGAAAUGGCAAGAACUUAUCAUGCACUGAGAGAGAGCAUUCAUUCAACAGUACUGUAAAAUUGGGUAAUACUAAAUAAGCAGUAAUGUACAUGACUGCAACCAGGAAAAAAACCACAGCCACUCAUUUGGACCAUGAACUUUGAUAACAAGAGGAAGAAUUGAUAAACGAAGGAAUGAUGUUUUAAGAUGCUGGAGAGAAUAGCUGAAACAAAUGAUAAUUACAGCAUGUUUUAGUUAUGCUGCCAGGUGGAUGAGAUGAAGGUGUGCCUUUGUCAGCAGUAUUGCUCUUGGGUUUAAUUGCUGCAGCAUUUUUAAGCAGCUGUUUCAAAAGAGAUGCACAAGUUUUGCUCUUGUUUGCGUGGUUGUCUAACCCCAACUCAGGAGUAAGAUGUUUUCCUCCUAUGUUGGCAAAUAAUCUUUCUUCCUUUAAAUCCGACGCAGUCUGUUCCCCAGCUCCUGCUGUAUCUGUACUUAACUCCAAGUUCCUUUAAGUCAGUAAUAAACUUUCCAGACAGUUGUUUCCAGUGUUUCCAAUUGCUA
Meleagris gallopavo (turkey) is the source of this 762-nucleotide non-coding RNA. The record is from RefSeq and is a predicted model, not a curated record. Lineage: Eukaryota; Metazoa; Chordata; Aves; Galliformes; Phasianidae.